GCGGAAGCGAAGAGCAGCUGCGGCAGGGGUUAGGGAGACCGCAGGUCAGAGUGGCCCCGGGGCAGAGGGGCCGGGGUCUGAGGUGCUUUCGCGGGGACGCGAGGUACCCGGGGGUGGCAGAGGCUUCCGAGGAAAGACUGCGCGCGACGGCGAGCCCCCGCCUCCUGCCCCGAGGCCGGCAUCCCUGGCGGGUCCCGAGGGGCCUGGUGCUAGGCUGGGCUGGGCCGGCCGGGGGCUGCUCGCGGGCCGCUUGCAGUUACCUCUUGGUCCUUCUGGACUGCCAGGAGGAAAUGGUUCUGGGGACGGUGCCUCCACCUUCCAGCACCGUCAGUUACAGUGUUACCAUAGUCGCCGUUAAGGCGGGAAACGAUGAACUCGGGCUCCUGGACCCCAAGCCACCCCGAGGAAUCGUCUGAGCAACCCGGGAUGAGGAAGAGCAGAGCAGUGGGCAUGGCGAGCCUGCUAGUGUGGUUUGCAGACUCCCGACGAUAGCACCACAGGCCCAGGAUCAGGAUGAUACAGUCACAAGUGGGACCUGGGAGCUGAGGGUCUUGCCCCAGAGCUUGCUGAGGAAGACAACGUGGAGAAACAGCCCAGAUUGUUCCAGACGGCUGAGAUGCAUAAAGUAGCACAGACUCAGUAGGGUGGCUGUUUCCCCUAGGAUGUCAAUCCACAGUGGUUUAAAUGACGUGCAAA
Molecule: long non-coding RNA, 696 nt
Organism: Bos taurus (domestic cattle)
Lineage: Eukaryota; Metazoa; Chordata; Mammalia; Artiodactyla; Bovidae
Source: Ensembl